AGCAAGAUGGCCGAGAUUAGGCAGAAGAUUGUAGCUCUUCCAACGGAAUACUUCCUCUUGUUA
RNAcentral lists this transfer RNA (63 nucleotides) under Nephtys sp. 'San Juan Island' YV-2008. RNAcentral's name for it is "tRNA-Tyr". The record is from RNAcentral. Lineage: Eukaryota; Metazoa; Annelida; Polychaeta; Phyllodocida; Nephtyidae.